UAAAUCCGAAAAAUUUAUUCUGAUUGACAUUUCAGCAUUAUGCGAGAUGAAAUACAUGUUAUGUUAUGUAGAUGAUGCAAAUGUCAUGAUGUUUGUAUUGAUUUAUUGAAUGAGGGACAAUAUUGGGAUUUGACACAUACACACGACAAGUCAAGGACCGAUUACAUUCAAGUGCCAAAAUACACUAUAAAUAAAGUCAGAAAUGGAAAUACAUGAAAAUCAAUGUUGGACCAAUAGUUGACCAAACUUUGACCUUUGACUUAAAAUCUACUCCUAGACCUAUCUCUUUUAAAUUCAACAUCUUCAUCAUGAUUCACUUCCAAUUUGCUUAUUUUCUUCAAUUUGCUUGGCAUGUGCAUACAAAUUGGCUAAACCCACAUAACAUACACCAAGCCAUCAUAAUUCCAUAAGCAAAAACAUUUCAAACAAUUCUAAUAAUAUAUUAAUGCACUCCAUAACCAAUCAAGCAUAAUUCAUAAUAGGCAUUCAAGCAUAAUUUUUAAUUUACCUAGUGUUAAAUCCACAACUUUGCUAACAAAAACUAACAUAUAUACACAACCAACAUCCAUUCAUACAUAUGAAAAUCAAACCACAUUUCCUAUUCUAAAACUACUAACCAAACUUCAAAUUCAUCACAACAUUGCAAAACCAUUCAAACAGUUAGAACUAGUUACCAUUCAUCUAUUCUUCACUAUAUGUUUUUCAAUCCAUUGAUACUAACUCUAAUCUCAUAUUCUAACUAAUCUCAUAACUUAAUCAUCCCCAAUUCUAACUAAACUAACAGCUUAACAAUGUUAGAACUAACAACUUACAUUCCUAACUUUAACUAACUUCGAUUUAACUUCGUUAACAUUUUCACCUCAAUUUGAUUAACCUUUAACAACUAUACAAAAUUUCAUGAAAUUACUAACAAUUCAUAACAUUUCCUAAUCCAUUCACUACCUAACAACAUCACUUAUAUUCACUAAUUCUAAUUCAAUUAACACCACACCACUAUCCAAAUUCCUCAACCUUACUCAUGCUUCGAUUCCUCUAAUAGUCCCCAAACUUAACAACUAAUAGUAAUUAACUUCUAACAACUAACAGUUUCUAACAGAAUUAUCAGAGUUAACUGGUUAUAACUAACCUUCCAUUAACAGUUAACAUUUGCCCUAACUUGUAACAAACCUGCCCUAAACUCUGACCAAAUUAGUUGCCAUUCUCCUAUAUAUAACUCUUCAUCCCCACAUUCAUUGAGAACCAAUCACAUUUACACAAAUCACUUAAAUCUUCAAACUCUCUCAAGCACUCUGAGAUUUCUCUCUGAAGCUCUCUCUCUGCAUUUUUCCUCUCUACUCCAUCACUCUCCUCACACGCACAAAACAACAACACAGAGCAACAAACACAAAACAAUCACAUCCUACAAGCUAGGGAUUUUCAAGAAGAAGAAGAUCUCCUUGAAAAAACAGGAAAAGUAAAGAUUCAAAGCAUACAUGCAUAUUCUCUGAUUUUUCUUACUCCAUCUAUAUCAUCUCCAAGCUUCAACAAACACCAAGGUAUCCUCCGCCUUGUAGGUUGGUGUGCUAUGUUUUAUUCCUCUAUUUGCUUUAAUUCAUUUGCCAUAAUGUAGCUUCGAUUAAGGAGAAUCAAAUCCCUCUGGUGGUUGGCUCAAAUUCCCCUUUGUUCUCGUUUAAUUUAUGAAUUUGUUUCUUAGGGUUCAUACUCUUUUCACUUUAUUUUGGAAUUUUGGUUAGGAGUUAGGAAGGUUUGAUAUGAGAUUAAGAAUGAGAUCAUUGAGACGAGUUGGUUGAUGUGUGUUUGAGGUUAUUUGGACCUCCGCUGUCACCGGAGGCGAUCUCUGACACAACGAGGCAAUUCUCUGAUGAGGGAACUAUUGAAAGUGAGAGAGAUCUGCACGAAGAGCAUUGAGACAAUAAAUGAAUCGUAUGACUUGUUGAACUCUCUCCACCUAUUGCUUUGGUUCGUUGGGCUUUACUUCAAACCAAGCCCAUUGGAUUCUAUUUCUAUCCACACCUUUUUUUAGCAUACCCCUUGCAGAGGGCAAACAAUAAGGCACUUUGGGCUUUUCUGUUAAGCCCAUCGCACAUUCUUCCAUGCCAUACCUCCCUAUGAGUCCAUACACCCCCUGCAGAUUGCUUUUUUCUCAUUUUUCUCAUUUUGUUUUUAUAAUUUCUUCUUGUCUUUUUUCUUUACAUUUUAAUACACCUUAUUAUUACACAUUUUUUUGAAUACAUAAAAAAUACAUUUUUCUACAUUUUAGGCUUUUCUUUGAAUACAUAAAAAUAUAUUUUAUUUUGUUAUUAA
This 2304-nucleotide long non-coding RNA is filed under the name Lathyrus oleraceus (garden pea). Its description in RNAcentral is "Pisum sativum (pea) long non-coding RNA (PSAT_LNC017217)". The record is from RNAcentral. Lineage: Eukaryota; Viridiplantae; Streptophyta; Magnoliopsida; Fabales; Fabaceae.